This 1047-nucleotide small RNA is filed under the name uncultured Pelagibacterales bacterium. RNAcentral describes it as "bacterial SSU rRNA". The stretch from base 1 to 658 matches the Rfam family "Bacterial small subunit ribosomal RNA", at positions 867 to 1533 of the family's 1533-position model. Lineage: Bacteria; Pseudomonadati; Pseudomonadota; Alphaproteobacteria; Candidatus Pelagibacterales. The record is from RNAcentral.
CACCGCCUGGGGAGUACGACCGCAAGGUUAAAACUCAAAUGAAUUGACGGGGACCCGCACAAGUAGUGGAGCAUGUGGUUUAAUUCGAAGAUACGCGCAGAACCUUACCAACACUUGACAUGUUUGUCGCGACUUUAAGAGAUUAAAGUCUUCGGUUCGGCCGGACAAAACACAGGUGCUGCAUGGCUGUCGUCAGCCCGUGUCGUGAGAUGUUGGGUUAAGUCCCGCAACGAGCGCAACCCUCACUUUUAGUUGCCAUCAUUAAGUUGGGCACUCUGAAAGAACUGCCAGUGAUAAGCUGGAGGAAGGUGGGGAUGACGUCAAGUCCUCAUGGCCCUUACGUGUUGGGCUACACACGUGCUACAAUGGUAUUUACAACAGGAAGCAAGACGGCGACGUUAAGCAAAUCCUUAAAAAAUACCUCAGUUCGGAUUGCACUCUGCAACUCGAGUGCAUGAAGCUGGAAUUACUAGUAAUCGUGGAUCAGCGUGCCACGGUGAAUGCGUUCCCGGGUCUUGUACACACCGCCCGUCACACCAUGGGAGUUGGUUCUACCUUAAGGCAAGGUUUUAAACCCUUGACCACGGUAUAGUCAGCGACUGGGGUGAAGUCGUAACAAGGUAGCCGUAGGGGAACCUGCGGCUGGAUUACCUCCUUUCUAAGGAUGAAUGAAAUUUUAAUUUCAUUCUAAAAAAUAUACAGGUUAAUGUUGACCGUCCUCAUUUCUCUUCUUAAGUUAGUGUUUCUCUUGCAUGGGGGCCGGUAGCUCAGUUGGUUAGAGCACACCCUUGAUAAGGGUGGGGUCGAAAGUUCGAGUCUUUCUCGGCCCACCAAUUCAAAGAUCAUGGGGGAUUAGCUCAGCUGGGAGAGCGCCUGAUUUGCAUUCAGGAGGUCAGCGGUUCGAUCCCGCUAUCCUCCACCAAAAACACUUAGUUAUACAAAUUGUGAAUAAAAUAAUAAUUAAUAUCAAUAUCUAUAUCCGAACAUUAGUAAUGUUAUUAGCUAGUGUUCAAAUAAAAAUUUGAUUCAACACAGAAUUUUUUUCUG